UAGAAUAAGUCAAAUGUCUUAAGCUUGCAUUAUUAGUAGACAUCUAAACUGUUGUUCUGUUGUUCAUCAUGUUCAGUGGCAAAGUGUUUUUGAUUCAUUGUAAAGAUGUACUGUCAUAUAGGGUAGAACUGAUGUAAAGGAUGGCAUGGUGUGGGUUUCUCUUUUUGACCAAUAUUUUGAUAUUUAUUCCAAGGCAGUUAGAUGUACCGUAUAUCUUUUGAUGAUGACGGCAUGGAAAGGAUUUAUAGGCUUUUUAUGAGAUUUGAAGAAUAAAACAGAGGGUCUCUAACUUAACUAGCUAAAGCCACAUUUAUGUCUUUCCAUGAAGUAGAAGGCAAUGUGCAUCUGUUUAAAUCAUUCAUAUGCUUUUGCGAUACAUUAUUUAUAUGACAUUGAUUUCUUUCAAGAUUUUCGAAGAGUGAUUUUUCUCAAUAUUUUCUGUUUGCAUACUUUAAUUGAAUACCAGUGAUUGGAAACAAAUUGUUUUUCAUUUGAGGAUUUUUAGCAUAAGCCAUGUGUGGCAAGAUCUGUGUGUAAGAACUCAAUGUGUCCAUCUGUUUUAAGAUCAGUCUGUAACGUUUAGAGAACUGGAUGUAGAGAUUUUGUAGCACAAGUCACUCGCUGUGGUUAUUCAGUGGUCAGAUCCCAAGCACCCCCAGCUUGUCAUGGGGACUACAUCAGGGACUGGGUGGCCAGAGCAGGUCCCUACUACCCCCAACUUGUCAUGGGGACUACAUCAGAGACUGGGUGGCCAGAGCAGGUCCCAACUACCCCCAGCUUGUCAUGGUGUCUACAUGAGGGAGUGGGUGGCCAGAGCAGGUCCUAUGUACUUCCCACUUGUCAUGGGGACUACAUCAGGGACUGGGUGGCCAGAGCAGGUCCCAUGUACUUCUCACUUGUCAUGGGGACUACAUCAGGGACUGGGUGGCCAGAGCAGAUCCAAACUACCCCCAGCUUGUCAUGGUGUCUACAUGAGGGAGUGGGUGGCCAGAGCAGGUCCCAUAUACUUCCCACUUGUCAUGAGGACUGCAUCAGGGACUGGGUGGCCAGAGCAGAUCCCAACUAUCCCCAACUUGUCAUGGUGACUGCAUCAGGGACUGGGUGGCCAGAGCAGAUCCCAACUAUCCCCAACUUGUCAUGGUGACUACAUGAGGGAGUGGGUGGCCAGAGCAGGUCCCAUGUACUUCCCACUUAUCAUGGUGACUACAUCAGAGACUGGGUGGCCAGAGCAGAUCCAAACUACCCCCAGCUUGUCAUGGUGUCUACAUGAGGGUGUGGGUGGCCAGAGGAGGUCCCAUGUACUUCCCACUUGUCAUGGGGACUACAUCAGAGACUGGGUGGCCAGAGCAGGUCCCAUGUACUUCCCACUUGUCAUGGUGACUACAUCAGAGACUGGGUGGCCAGAGCAGGCCCUACGUACUUCCCACUUGUCAUGGUGACUACAUCAGGGACUGGGUGGCCAGAGCAGGUCCCAUGUACUUCCCACUUGUCAUGGGGACUACAUCAGAGACCGGGUUUGCCAGAGCAGAUCCAAACUACCCCCAGCUUGUCAUGGUGUCUACAUGAGGGAGUGGGUGGCCAGAGCAGGUCCCAACUACCCCCGGCUUGCCAUGGUGACUACAUCAGAGACUGGGUGGCCAGAGCAGGUCCCAUGUACUUCCCACUUGUCAUGGUGACUACAUCAGGGACUGGGUGGCCAGAGCAGGUCCCUACUACCCCCAACUUGACAUGGGGACUACAUCAGAGACUGGGUGGCCAGAGCAGAUCCCACAUACUUCCCACUUGUCAUGGUGACUACAUCAGGGACUGGGUGGCCAGAGCAGGUCCCUACUACCCCCAACUUGUCAUGGGGACUACAUCAGGGACUGGGUGGCCAGAGCAGAUCCCAACUACCCCCAGCUUGCCAUGGUGUCUACAUGAGGGAGUGGGUGGGCAGAGCAGGUCCCAUGUACUUCCCACUUGUCAUGAGACUGCAUCAGGGACUGGGUGGCCAGAGCAGGUCCCAACUACCCCCAACUUGUCAUGGUGACUACAUCAGAGACUGGGUGGCCAGAGGAGGUCCCAUGUACUUCCCACUUAUCAUGGUGACUACAUCAGAGACUGGGUGGCCAGAGCAGAUCCAAACUACCCCCAGCUUGUCAUGGUGUCUACAUGAGGGAGUGGGUGGCCAGAGGAGGUCCCAUGUACUUCCCACUUGUCAUGGGGACUACAUCAGGGACUGGGUGGCCAGAGCAGAUCCAAACUACCCCCAGCUUGUCAUGGUGUCUACAUGAGGGAGUGGGUGGCCAGAGCAGGUCCCAUGUACUUCCCACUUGUCAUGGGGACUACAUCAGAGACUGGGUGGCCAGAGCAGGUCCCAUGCACUUCCCACUUGCCAAGGUGACUACAUCAGAGACUGGGUGGCCAGAGCAGAUCCCAACUACCCCCAGCUUGUCAUGGUGUCUACAUGAGGGAGUGGGUGGCCAGAGCAGGUCCCAUGUACUUCCCACUUUUCAUGGGGACUACAUCAGAGACUGGGUGGCCAGAGCAGAUCCAAACUACCCCCAGCUUGUCAUGGUGUCUACAUGAGGGAGUGGGUGGCCAGAGGAAGUCCCAUGUACUUCCCACUUGUCAUGGUGACUACAUCAGAGACUGGGUGGCCAGAGCAGGCCCCAUGUACUUCCCACUUGUCAUGGUGACUACAUCAGGGACUGGGUGGCCAGAGCAGGUCCCAACUACCACCGGCUUGUCAUGGUGACUACAUCAGAGACUGGGUGGCCAGAGCAGGUCCCAUGUACUUCCCACUUGUCAUGGGGACUACAUCAGGGACUGGGUGGCCAGAGGAGGUCCCACAUACUUCCCACAUGUCAUGGUGACUACAUCAGGGACUGGGUGGCCAGAGCAGGUCCCUACUAUCCCCAACUUGUCAUGGGGACUACAUCAGAGACUGGGUGGCCAGAGCAGAUCCCAACUACCCCCAGCUUGUCAUGGUGUCUACAUGAGGGAGUUGGUGGCCAGAGGAGGUCCCAUGUACUUCCCACUUGUCAUGGUGACUACAUCAGAGACUGGGUGGCCAGAGCAGAUCCAAACUACCCCCAGCUUGUCAUGGUGUCUACAUGAGGGUGUGGGUGGCCAGAGGAGGUCCCAUGUACUUCCCACUUGUCAUGGGGACUACAUCAGAGACUGGGUGGCCAGAGCAGGUCCCAUGUACUUCCCACUUGUCAUGGUGACUACAUCAGAGACUGGGUGGCCAGAGCAGGCCCUACGUACUUCCCACUUGUCAUGGUGACUACAUCAGGGACUGGGUGGCCAGAGCAGGUCCCAUGUACUUCCCACUUGUCAUGGGGACUACAUCAGAGACCGGGUUUGCCAGAGCAGAUCCAAACUACCCCCAGCUUGUCAUGGUGUCUACAUGAGGGAGUGGGUGGCCAGAGCAGGUCCCAUGUACUUCCCAUUUGUCAUGGUGACUACAUCAGGGACUGGGUGGCCAGAGCAGGUCCCUACUACCCCCUACUCGUCAUGGGGACUACAUCAGAGACUGGGUGGCCAGAGCAGAUCCCACAUACUUCCCACUUGUCAUGGGGACUACAUCAGAGACUGGGUGGCCAGAGCAGAUCCAAACUACCCCCAGCUUGUCAUGGUGUCUACAUGAGGGAGUGGGUGGCCAGAGGAAGUCCCAUGUACUUCCCACUUGUCAUGGUGACUACAUCAGAGACUGGGUGGCCAGAGCAGGCCCCAUGUACUUCCCACUUGUCAUGGUGACUACAUCAGGGACUGGGUGGCCAGAGCAGGUCCCAACUACCACCGGCUUGUCAUGGUGACUACAUCAGAGACUGGGUGGCCAGAGCAGGUCCCAUGUACUUCCCACUUGUCAUGGGGACUACAUCAGGGACUGGGUGGCCAGAGGAGGUCCCACAUACUUCCCACAUGUCAUGGUGACUACAUCAGGGACUGGGUGGCCAGAGCAGGUCCCUACUAUCCCCAACUUGUCAUGGGGACUACAUCAGAGACUGGGUGGCCAGAGCAGAUCCCAACUACCCCCAGCUUGUCAUGGUGUCUACAUGAGGGAGUUGGUGGCCAGAGGAGGUCCCAUGUACUUCCCACUUGUCAUGGUGACUACAUCAGAGACUGGGUGGCCAGAGCAGGCCCUACGUACUUCCCACUUGUCAUGGUGACUACAUCAGGGACUGGGUGGCCAGAGCAGGUCCCUACUACCCCCAACUUGUCAUGGGGACUACAUCAGAGACUGGGUGGCCAGAGCAGAUCCAAACUACCCCCAGCUUGUCAUGGUGUCUACAUGAGGGAGUGGGUGGCCAGAGGGGGUCCCAUGUACUUCCCACUUGUCAUGGUGACUACAUCAGGGACUGGGUGGCCAGAGCAGGUCCCAUGUACUUCCCACUUGUCAUGGGGACUACAUCAGAGACCGGGUUUGCCAGAGCAGAUCCAAACUACCCCCAGCUUGUCAUGGUGUCUACAUGAGGGAGUGGGUGGCCAGAGGGGGUCCCAUGUACUUCCCACUUGUCAUGGUGACUACAUCAGGGACUGGGUGGCCAGAGCAGGUCCCAUGUACUUCCCACUUGUCAUGGGGACUACAUCAGAGACUGGGUGGCCAGAGCAGGCCCCACGUACUUCCCACUUGUCAUGGGGACUACAUCAGGGACUGGGUGGCCAGAGCAGGUCCCAACUACCCCCGGCUUGUCAUGGUGACUACAUCAGAGACUGGGUGGCCAGAGCAGGUCCCAUGUACUUCCCACUUGUCAUGGGGACUACAUCAGAGACUGGGUGGCCAGAGCAGGCCCAGCGUACUUCCCACUUGUCAUGGGGACUACAUCAGGGACUGGGUGGCCAGAGCAGGUCCCAACUAUCCCCGGCUUGUCAUGGUGACUACAUCAGAGACUGGGUGGCCAGAGCAGGUCCCAUGUACUUCCCACUUGUCAUGGGGACUACAUCAGGGACUGGGUGGCCAGAGGAGGUCCCACGUAGUUCCCACUUGUCUUGGUGACUAUAUCAGGGAAUGGGUGGCCAGAGCAGGUCCCUACUACCCCCAACUUGUCAUGGGGACUACAUCAUAACCUGGGUGGCCAGAGCAGAUCCCAACUACCCCCAGCUUGUCAUGGUGUCUAUAUGAGGGAGUGGGUGGCCAGAGCAGGUCCCAUGUACUUCCCACUUGUCAUGGGGACUGCAUCAGGGACUGGGUGGCCAGAGCAGGUCCCAACUACCCCCAACUUGUCAUGGUGACUACAUCAGAGACUGGGUGGCCAGAGCAGGUCCCAUGUACUUCCCACUUGUCAUGGUGACUACAUCAGAGACUGGGUGGCCAGAGCAGAUCCAAACUAUCCCCAGCUUGUCAUGGUGUCUACAUGAGGGAGUGGGUGGCCAGAGGAAGUCCCAUGUACUUCCCACUUGUAAUGGGGACUACAUCAGAGACUGGGUGGCCAGAGCAGAUCCAAACUAUCCCCAGCUUGUCAUGGUGUCUACAUGAGGGACUGGGUGGCCAGAGCAGGUCCCAACUACCCCCAACUUGUCAUGGGGACUACAUCAGAGACUGGGUGGCCAGAGCAGGUCCCAUGUACUUCCCACUUGUCAUGGUGACUACAUCAGAGACUGGGUGGCCAGAGCAGGCCCUACGUACUUCCCACUUGUCAAGGUGACUACAUCAGGGACUGGGUGGCCAGAGCAGGUCACAUGUACUUCCCACUUGUCAUGGGGAUUACAUCAGAGACCGGGUUUCCCAGAGCAGAUCCAAACUACCCCCAGCUUGUCAUGGUGUCUACAUGAGGGAGUGGGUGGCCAGAGCAGGUCCCAACUACCCCCGGCUUGUCAUGGUGACUACAGCAGAGACUGGGUGGCCAGAGCAGGUCCCAUGUACUUCCCAUUUGUCAUGGUGACUACAUCAGGGACUGGGUGGCCAGAGCAGGUCCCUACUACCCCCAACUUGUCAUGGGGACUACAUCAGAGACUGGGUGGCCAGAGCAGAUCCCACAUACUUCCCACUUGUCAUGGUGACUACAUCAGGGACUGGGUGGCCAGAGCAGGUCCCUACUACCCCCAACUUGUCAUGGGGACUACAUCAGAGACUGGGUGGCCAGAGCAGAUCCAAACUACCCCCAGCUUGUCAUGGUGUCUACAUGAGGGAGUGGGUGGCCAGAGGAGGUCCCACGUAGUUCCCACUUGUCAUGGUGACUAUAUCAGGGAAUGGGUGGCCAGAGCAGGUCCCUACUACCCCCAACUUGUCAUGGGGACUACAUCAUAACCUGGGUGGCCAGAGCAGAUCCCAACUACCCCCAGCUUGUCAUGGUGUCUAUAUGAGGGAGUGGGUGGCCAGAGCAGGUCCCAUGUACUUCCCACUUGUCAUGGUGACUGCAUCAGGGACUGGGUGGCCAGAGCAGGUCCCAACUACCCCCAACUUGUCAUGGUGACUACAUCAGAGACUGGGUGGCCAGAGCAGGUCCCAUGUACUUCCCACUUGUCAUGGUGACUACAUCAGAGACUGGGUGGCCAGAGCAGAUCCAAACUAUCCCCAGCUUGUCAUGGUGUCUACAUGAGGGAGUGGGUGGCCAGAGGAGGUCCCAUGUACUUCCCACUUGUAAUGGGGACUACAUCAGAGACUGGGUGGCCAGAGCAGAUCCAAACUAUCCCCAGCUUGUCAUGGUGUCUACAUGAGGGACUGGGUGGCCAGAGCAGGUCCCAACUACCCCCAACUUGUCAUGGUGACUACAUCAGAGACUGGGUGGCCAGAGCAGGUCCCAUGUACUUCCCACUUGUCAUGGUGACUACAUCAGAGACUGGGUGGCCAGAGCAGGCCCUACGUACUUCCCACUUGUCAAGGUGACUACAUCAGGGACUGGGUGGCCAGAGCAGGUCACAUGUACUUCCCACUUGUCAUGGGGAUUACAUCAGAGACCGGGUUUCCCAGAGCAGAUCCAAACUACCCCCAGCUUGUCAUGGUGUCUACAUGAGGGAGUGGGUGGCCAGAGCAGGUCCCAACUACCCCCGGCUUGUCAUGGUGACUUCAUCAGAGACUGGGUGGCCAGAGCAGGUCCCAACUACCCCCGGCUUGUCAUGGGGACUACAUCAGAGACUGGGUGGCCAGAGCAGGUCCCAUGUACUUCCCACUUGUCAUGGUGACUACAUCAGAGACUGGGUGGCCAGAGCAGGUCCCAUGUACUUCCCACUUGUCAUGAUGACUACAUCAGAGACUGGGUGGCCAGAGCAGGCCCUACGUACUUCCCACUUGUCAUGGGGACUACAUCAGAGACUGGGUUUGCCAGAGCAGAUCCAAACUACCCCCAGCUUGUCAUGGUGUCUACAUGAGGGAGUGGGUGGUCAGAGCAGGUCCCAUGUACUUCCCACUUGUCAUGGGGACUACAUCAGGGACUGGGUGGCCAGAGGAGGUCCCAUGUACUUCCCACUUGUCAUGGGGACUACAUCAGAGACCGGGUUUGCCAGAGCAGGUCCCAACUACCCCCGGCUUGUCAUGGUGUGUACAUGAGGGAGUGGGUGGCCAGAGGAGGUCCCAUGUACUUCCCACUUGUCAUGGUGACUACAUCAGAGACUGGGUGGCCAGAGCAGGUCCCAACUACCCCCGGCUUGUCAUGGUGACUACAUCAGAGACUGGGUGGCCAGAGGAGGUCCCAUGUACUUCCCACUUGUCAUGGGGACUAUAUCAGGGACUGGGUGGCCAGAGGAGGUCCCACAUACUUCCCACUUGUCAUGGUGACUACAUCAGGGACUGGGUGGCCAGAGCAGAUCUCAACUACCCCUGGCUUGUCAUGGUGACUACAUCAGAGACUGGGUGGCCAGAGCAGGUCCCAUGUACUUCCCACUUGUCAUGGGGACUACAUCAGGGACUGGGUGGUAAGAGCAGGUCCCACGUACUUCCAACUUGUCAUGGAGACUGCAUCAGGGACUGGGUGGCCAGAGCAGGUCCCAUGUACUUCCCACUUGUCAUGGGGACUACAUGAGGGACUGGGUGGCCAGAGGAGGUCCCACAUAAUUCCCACUUGUCAUGGUGACUGCAUCAGGGACUGGGUGGCCAGAGCAGGUCCCAACUACCCCCGGCUUGUCAUGGGGACUACAUCAGGGACUGGGUGGCCAGAGCAGGUCCCAACUACCCCCGGCUUGUCAUGGUGACUACAUCAGAGACUGGGUGGCCAGAGCAGGUCCCAACUACCCCCGGCUUGUCAUGGGGACUACAUCAGGGACUGGGUGGCCAGAGCAGAUCCCAACUAACCCCGGCUUGUCAUGGUGUCUACAUCAGGGUGUGGGUGGCCAGAGCAGGUCCUAUGUACUUCCCACUUGUCAUGGGGACUACAUCAGGGACUGGGUGGCCAGAGCAGGUCCCAUGUACUUCCCACUUGUCAUGGUGACUUCAUCAGGGACUGGGUGGCCAGAGCAGGUCCCUACUACCCCAAACUUGUCAGGGAGACUGCAUCUGGGACUGGGUGGCCAGAGGAGGUCCCUACUACCCCCAACUUGUCAUGGGAACUACAUCAGAGACUGGGUGGCCAGAGCAGAUCCCAACUACCCCCAACUUGUCAUGGUGUCUACAUGAGGUAGUGGGUGGCCAGAGCAGGUCCCAUGUACUUCCCACUUGUCAUGAGGACUGCAUCAGGGACUGGGUGGCCAGAGCAGGUCCCAACUACCCCCAACUUGUCAUGGUGACUACAUCAGAGACUGGGUGGCCAGAGCAGGUCCCAUGUACUUCCCACUUGUCAUGGUGACUACAUCAGAGACUGGGUGGCCAGAGCAGAUCCAAACUACCCCCAGCUUGUCAUGGUGUCUACAUGAGGGAAUGGGUGGCCAGAGGAGGUCCCAUGUACUUCCCACUUGUCAUGGGGACUACACCAGAGACUGGGUUUGCCAGAGCAGAUCCAAACUAACCCCAGCUUGUCAUGGUGACUACAUCAGAGACUGGGUGGCCAGAGCAGGUCCCAUGUACUUCCCACUUGUCAUGGGGACUACAUGAGGGAGUGGGUGGCCAGAGGAGGUCCCACAUACUUCCCACUUGUCAUGGUGACUGCAUCAGGGACUGGGUGGCCAGAGCAGGUCCCAUGUACUUCCCACUUGUCAUGGUGACUAUAUCAGAGACUGGGUGGCCAGAGCAGGUCCCAUGUACUUCCCACUUUUCAUGGUGUCUAUAUGAGGGACUGGGUGGCCAGAGCAGGUCCCAACUACCCCCAACUUGUCAUGGUGACUACAUCAGAGACUGGGUGGCCAGAGCAGGUCCUAUGUACUUCCCACUUGUCAUGGUGACUACAUCAGAGACUGGGUGGCCAGAGCAGGUCCUAUGUACUUCCCACUUGUCAUGGUGACUACAUCAGAGACUGGGUGGCCAGAGCAGGUCCUAUGUACUUCCCACUUGUCAUGGUGACUACAUCAGAGACUGGGUGGCCAGAGCAGGUCCUAUGUACUUCCCACUUGUCAUGGGGACUACAUCAGAGACUGGGUGGCCAGAGCAGGUCCUAUGUACUUCCCACUUGUCAUGGGGACUACAUCAGGGACUGGGUGGCCAGAGCAGGUCCCUACUACCCCCAACUUGUCAGGGAGACUGCAUCUGGGACUGGGUGGCCAGAGCAGGUCCCACAUACUUCCCACUUGUCAUGGGGACUACAUCAGGGACUGGGUGGCCAGAGCAGGUCCCAACUACCCCCAACUUGUCAUGGUGACUACAUCAGAGACUGGGUGGCCAGAGCAGGUC
RNAcentral lists this unclassified non-coding RNA (9679 nucleotides) under Haliotis rufescens (red abalone). RNAcentral describes it as "uncharacterized LOC125378607, transcript variant X12". The record is from RNAcentral. Lineage: Eukaryota; Metazoa; Mollusca; Gastropoda; Lepetellida; Haliotidae.